This 105-nucleotide small nuclear RNA is filed under the name Pteropus vampyrus (large flying fox). Lineage: Eukaryota; Metazoa; Chordata; Mammalia; Chiroptera; Pteropodidae. The record is from RNAcentral.
GCGCUUGCUUUGGCAGCACAUCUACCCAACGAGACAAUGCAGAGGAGAUUGGCACGGCACCUGCUCCAGGACGAUACGCAAAUUCACACAGUAUUCCGUUUAAAA